UUUUUUAUUCUUUGAACAUUUAUGUUCUUUUGAAUUUCUUUAAUAAUAAAUACAAACAUUGAGUUUUCAUUUUUUUGGCAUAGUUAAUUCUCCAUUUGGAGGCUUGUCUGAUCUGGCAUUCGUUCCACAAUUCUGCUCUGGCUUUGUGUUAACACUUUACUCAGGGUCUCCAGCCCCUGCAUUGCCUGCAUUGCUUUUGCUCCUUCACUACACUCCCUUCUUGCCCCACAAUAAAAGUUACCAUGGAGUUAUUUAUAUACCACAUUUAUUUUGAAGCACUCGGUUCUCGAGAUUUAUUUUAGAAAUUCUGCUAUUGCAAAAAUUCAUCUGUGAAGUGAAAACACUUAAAAUUCAAUAGAUUUUUCUUUUGUGUGUGUGGGUGUGUGUGUGUGUAGACAGUCAUGAAUUACAUUGUAACAUAGUCAGUGAAGGGACCACAUGGUUCCUUAAGGUUAUAUAAACUAGUGACAUCAUAGCCAUCUAAAGCAUACAAUAUUUUUCAUUUUUUGUUAUGAUAAUAAGAUUCCUGAGGCAGGCUACUUUAUAAAAGAAAGUGGUUUGUUUUGGUUCAUGGUUCUGGAGGUUCAAAUUCAAGGUGCCUUAUUUGGUGCUGGUUUGCUGGGAAAAAUACAGGAUAUCACAUGGCAACACAAGGUGUACAGGUCCAUGUGUGUCUAUGUCCUGUGGUCGGUCUCUCUUCUUUUAAAGCCACCAAAAUUUAAUCAGUGGGGGCUAUACCCUAAUGAUGUUAUCUAAUCCUAAUCUCCUUCCAAAGGUCCUUCCCUCUUCAUACCUCACAGUAGGAUUAAAUUUCAGCAUGAAUUUAAGGGGACAAAUUAUAACAUUUGCUCUAUAAUGUUCACAUAAAGAUUAAAUGCUUAACAACACUUUUCUCAAAAUAUAUUCCAUUGUUAACUGUGAGAGAAUGAAAUAUGCUUUGAAAAAUAAGGAGACACCUACUACAACCGCAUCAAGUUGGUUUGUUUUCUUCAGGCUUUUAGAUUUUGCAAUAUAUACAUUGUUUUCUGAAGCAUUUUAUAAAAAGAAGAAUAGUGCAAGAAAAGAACUUUUGUUUUAAUAUGAAAAUAUUAGGUGAAAAUACAAGUGUUAUAUUGAAAAUUGAACACUGAUUACUUAAUCUUACUGUGAGUAAAAAUAGCUGGUUUCAUUCAAUAAAGCAAGUCAACCAACUCUAGGAAAUUUUGUUUGUUUCUCUUGAAAUUUCCAGAUGGUUUCUGAGUGAGAUGAAAUUACACUUUACAACAAUAAUUUAUUCCUAGAAUAUAUUGUGACUAGGAAAUGACGUGUAUUUACAAAGAAAAUUGUUUUUUUUUUCUUGUGCAAUUUAGAAAGACAGGUUACAGUGGCCAUUCAACAUACCACCUGCCACAGAAAGUAGAUUCCUUCUUUGAUACCUUGUGCUACUGUGAUGUCAGCAUUUUCAAUUGAAAACAGAAUUUUUAUUAACUUGGAUCUGAAAAAGAAUUUAUUUGGUCUAGUCUUCUAUUCUGCUGGUGUUUAUUGGGAGAGUAUAAAACAGACCAAUUUUUAAUUGGGGUUCCAAGUAACCACUAUUGUGUCUUAAGGAUUUAUAUUUGUGUCUUAAGGAUUGUUAUUUUUAAUACUGUUUACAGAUGACAUUCUAAUAACUGAAACUAUGUGAAAGUGGAAUGGCAGAUAACAGAAGUCUCUGUAUAAUUUCUUGCCUGAAUUAUACAAAAUUGUACUUAAAAAAAAAAUAGAGUGAAUUUGGUUUCUAUAAAAGAAGAAUGAGCUUAACCUUAAAGAGUAAGGCUACUAAAGGAUAUGUACUUGCUGUCUUUGGAUUCAGGGGAUAUGUUCUCUAAUGAGAAGCCUGUGAGUUUUCCGUUGAAGAGUUAGGGUCAUAUAGACUACUACCUGGGAAACUUCGGGCAAAUCUACCUCCUUCAGCCUCCCCUGACAAUAAAGACUCUCCCCCAUGGGACCUUUGCAGGACCUGUUCAUACAGUAUUUACAUAGUGUCUGGCAUGGCUAAAGCAUAUGUACCACUUAAAAUACACAAGAACACAGCUUAUUGGAACCUUGAC
RNAcentral lists this long non-coding RNA (2069 nucleotides) under Marmota monax (woodchuck). The record is from RNAcentral. Lineage: Eukaryota; Metazoa; Chordata; Mammalia; Rodentia; Sciuridae.